Molecule: ribosomal RNA, 517 nt
Filed under: uncultured bacterium
Lineage: Bacteria
Description: bacterial SSU rRNA
Rfam family: Bacterial small subunit ribosomal RNA
Source: RNAcentral
CUACGUGCCAGCAGCCGCGGUAAUACGUAGGUCCCGAGCGUUGUCCGGAUUUAUUGGGCGUAAAGCGAGCGCAGGCGGUUAGAUAAGUCUGAAGUUAAAGGCUGUGGCUUAACCAUAGUACGCUUUGGAAACUGUUUAACUUGAGUGCAAGAGGGGAGAGUGGAAUUCCAUGUGUAGCGGCGAAAUGCGUAGAUAUAUGGAGGAACACCGGUGGCGAAAGCGGCUCUCUGGCUUGUAACUGACGCUGAGGCUCGAAAGCGUGGGGAGCAAACAGGAUUAGAUACCCUGGUAGUCCACGCCGUAAACGAUGAGUGCUAAGUGUUGGAGGGUUUCCGCCCUUCAGUGCUGCAGUUAACGCAUUAAGCACUCCGCCUGGGGAGUACGACCGCAAGGUUGAAACUCAAAGGAAUUGACGGGGGCCCGCACAAGCGGUGGAGCGUGUGGUUUAAUUCGAAGCAACGCGAAGAACCUUACCAGGUCUUGACAUCCCUCUGACCGCUCUAGAGAUAGAGUUUUC